CACAAUGGGCGCAAGCCUGAUGCAGCCAUGCCGCGUGUAUGAAGAAGGCCUUCGGGUUGUAAAGUACUUUCAGCAGUGAGGAAGGUGGGUAUGUUAAUAGCAUAUUCAUUUGACGUUAGCUGCAGAAGAAGCACCGGCUAACUCCGUGCCAGCAGCCGCGGUAAUACGGAGGGUGCGAGCGUUAAUCGGAAUUACUGGGCGUAAAGCGCAUGCAGGUGGUUUGUUAAGUCAGAUGUGAAAGCCCGGGGCUCAACCUCGGAAUUGCAUUUGAAACUGGCAAACUAGAGUACUGUAGAGGGGGUAGAAUUUCAGGUGUAGCGGUGAAAAUGCGUAGAGAUCUGAAGGAAUACCGGUGGCGAAGGCGGCCCCCUGGACAGAUACUGACACUCAGAUGCGAAAGCGUGGGGAGCAAAACAGGAUUAGAUACCCUGGUAG
Molecule: ribosomal RNA, 435 nt
Filed under: uncultured bacterium
Lineage: Bacteria
Description: bacterial SSU rRNA
Rfam family: Bacterial small subunit ribosomal RNA
Source: RNAcentral